CCUACGGGAGGCAGCAGUGAGGAAUAUUGGUCAAUGGACGCAAGUCUGAACCAGCCAAGUAGCGUGCAGGAUGACGGCCCUCCGGGUUGUAAACUGCUUUUAGUUGGGAAUAAAAGGGGGCUCGUGAGCCCCGUAUUGUAUGUACCAUCAGAAAAAGGACCGGCUAAUUCCGUGCCAGCAGCCGCGGUAAUACGGAAGGUCCGGGCGUUAUCCGGAUUUAUUGGGUUUAAAGGGAGCGUAGGCCGGCUUUUAAGUCAGCUGUGAAAGCCUUCGGCUUAACCGAAGAAGUGCAUCGGAAACCGGGC
Molecule: ribosomal RNA, 305 nt
Filed under: uncultured bacterium
Lineage: Bacteria
Description: bacterial SSU rRNA
Rfam family: Bacterial small subunit ribosomal RNA
Source: RNAcentral